Oxyura jamaicensis (ruddy duck) is the source of this 656-nucleotide long non-coding RNA. RefSeq lists it as uncharacterized. The transcript is spliced from 2 exons. Lineage: Eukaryota; Metazoa; Chordata; Aves; Anseriformes; Anatidae. The record is from RefSeq and is a predicted model, not a curated record.
GGAUGUGAACAAGAGACUGGGAGGAGCAACAGACUGGACAACUGACCUGACUUGUUCAAAGACAUACUGCCUGCCAUAUAAUGUCAUGCUCAGCAAUGAAACCUGGGGUAGAGGAAGAAGAAGGAGAUUUGAGGCUUCCAAGGUGGCCAGUGCCGUCAGAGACUAGUGGGCAUUGGUCUGUUUGUGAGAGAUGAGAAAAAGCCCAAAGAGAGCAGGGAGGAGGAAGAGGAAGAUUCCAGGCCCCGAGAGCGCCAGGCAGAGCGGCGUGUCCCUGGCACAGGAGGAGUGGAGGACAUGCGUUCCUCUGGGAUUAUGCAGAGCUGCUGGAAGUGAAGCUUGAAAACCAGCAGAACGGAAGCUUGGAAACUGAGCCCUGGACUGAAGCUGGUAAUUUACCUUAUUUGAAAUAAAAACAGCUGAAGUUGAAGCCAGCCGGAAAUUCAGAUGACUUGAAGCUGCGAGCAAAAUUAGCAUAGCACUCUGCAGGUUGAAACAUGGGGGAAGCAGAGUGAGGGACUGAGCCUUGAUGGCUGCCAGGGUAAGGAAGCUGCUGCUGCUUCUGCACUCUUAUUCAAAAUUAUCCCUUAAAGCUAAAAUCAUUGCAAGACCAGGCUAGAAGAACAUAAUAGUGCCUGCUGGCCUUAACAGCAACAAGC